AAACCAGCACCUCAAGUGGUCAGGAUGAUGAUUGGGCCUAAAGCAUCCGUAGCCUGCUCUGUAAGUUUUCGGUUAAAUCUGUACGCUCAACGUACAGGCUGUCGGGAAUACUGCAGAGCUAGGGAGUGGGAGAGGUAGACGGUACUCGGGAGGAAGUGGUAAAAUGCUUUGAUCUCUCGAUGACCACCUGUGGCGAAGGCGGUCUACCAGAACACGUCCGACGGUGAGGGAUGAAAGCUGGGGGAGCAAACCGGAUUAGAAACCCCAGUAGUCC
RNAcentral lists this ribosomal RNA (274 nucleotides) under uncultured bacterium. Its description in RNAcentral is "partial 16S ribosomal RNA". It matches the Rfam family "Archaeal small subunit ribosomal RNA", at positions 473 to 747 of the family's 1478-position model. The record is from RNAcentral.